Molecule: ribosomal RNA, 254 nt
Filed under: uncultured bacterium
Lineage: Bacteria
Description: partial 16S ribosomal RNA
Rfam family: Bacterial small subunit ribosomal RNA
Source: RNAcentral
UACGGAGGGUGCAAGCGUUAUCCGGAAUCACUGGGUUUAAAGGGUGCGUAGGCGGCCCAAUAAGUCAGUCGUGAAAUCGCUGGGCUCAACCCAUGCAAUUGCGAUUGAUACUGUUGGACUUGAAUUAGGUUGAGGCUGGCGGAAUGCGACAUGUAGCGGUGAAAUGCUUAGAUAUGUCGCAGAACACCGAUUGCGAAGGCAGCCAGCUGGGCCUCGAUUGACGCUGAGGCACGAAAGCGUGGGGAGCAAACAGG